This 124-nucleotide non-coding RNA is filed under the name Catagonus wagneri (Chacoan peccary). Lineage: Eukaryota; Metazoa; Chordata; Mammalia; Artiodactyla; Tayassuidae. The record is from RNAcentral.
UUGCUGUAUAAAAGGAAAAAAUCAGCACUCCCCUUGACAGGAAUGGAAGAGGCACUCAGGCCUAACAACAUGCACAUGAUUAAGGCACUGCUACCUACUUCAUGGUAUGUUACCAAUAUUUUUU